This is a long non-coding RNA of Oryza sativa Japonica Group (Japanese rice), 1784 nucleotides long. RefSeq lists it as uncharacterized. The record is from RefSeq and is a predicted model, not a curated record. Lineage: Eukaryota; Viridiplantae; Streptophyta; Magnoliopsida; Poales; Poaceae.
GUGCGGUGGCCGGAAUCGUGCAUCGCCGCCUCCGAUGGGGCUCAGAUCACCGGCGAGCCGCCACUGCAAGCUACCUUGACCAACCCAGCUUUGGCGGAGAUCAGUUGCGGCGCAGGUGUAUGCCAUGACUAGCGAGAGCAAAGGAUUUGAGAAGUGAUCAAGCUCGAUCAGAUUAAAGGGGAUCAGCUCACUUCUGAUAUUUCAGAUGUUCCCUUCUGAUACAUUAGCGUAUUUCAGGAUCACAGGUACGUAAUCGUCAGCACAAAGUAACUACCUGACUAUCUAACUUUCUUUUUUCUUCAGGAUGAAGUCUGAAUUUUUGGGAUACGAUUACCUAACAAGUUACACAUGCUUGUAGUUUGCAGUAACAGGAAUACAGGAUGGUCUGACAACUAAUAUGUUGAAUUAAUUAUUGUCCUAUGGCUUCUCCAGAAGCAAUUAGGUUAAUUGUUUGUUUUUUAAUCUUCUGUGUCACAGUCUUCUGAAUGAUUUUCAGAGUAAGAUAUCAGGAUCUAAGGGUCAGAGUGUUUCUUUGGAACUCUAGAUGCAUUUUACAUCAUAGUAUUGUUAUUUCAAUCUCAGGAUUGAGUGCAAGCAAUCUGUUUGUACAAAAUACAGUCAUCUGAACUCUAGAAAGUUAGUUAAAUAUUAUGCUAACUCACGUUAUGCAAGUGAACUGUUCCAUUAGAAUGUACUCAGGUAUGGUACUGUAACAAUGAUGCUGAUGUUCAUACAGUUAAUAUAGGAUUGCGAUUUUUCUCAUUCAACAAUUCAUAGCCAUAACUAAAUCAUUUACUUGUUUUUGCAACUUAUUCAAAUUUUGAUGUUUGAUUGUUUUCUAGUGUACUACACUUCCCUAGAACGUGUGUCACUCGCACUCUCUGAGAUGGACAGCUACAUAUGAACAAACUACUAAUAAUUGAGAGUACUUAUCACUAGUAACUUUUUGAGAUGUACUCCAUCUUAUAAGCAAUCAACCAGUAGUUUGACAAUAUCAGGCUUUCAGCUUUCUUGUACCACAUAUUCUGUUCAAUUUAAUAUAUAUGCCGACACUCUUUUAACUUUACAUAUUUUGUGAAGAACAAUAAGCUAUAGCACCUCUAGAGGAUAAGACCUGCAUAUUGUACGCUCAUCUGAAGGAUAUGGAUUGUUUGAAUACGUUUCAUUUUGAUCAUUCUUCUAUUGUCUGCUUGUCUUCCUUGCUUCUGUCUUGACAAGAAAUCUGAUCUCCCGGGGCACGUCUCAGAUACAGUAAUACAGAACGGCUGAGAAAUCCCUAUGGUUACUCUUAUACAAACCAUGCCAUCUGACCCCUCAACAAUAGUUCAGGCAUGAGAUACAGAAACAGAAACUACUGUACAUUCUCAAAAACUUCAUAUUUAUGUUCCUAUGACUUGAUGUCCAUGCCAAAAAUCGUUGAUCCUGAACGAUCAAAUUAACAAAAAAAAGCAUUAGAUUAAGUCAGAAAACAACAGUAAGUUACUAACUACUGACUAAUCCUUAAUGUUGAUCUGUGCAGGAAUGUUACCUAAUGUUGGCAGUAAGACUGUCAGAGCUGCAAUGGCAACAAUUUUCAGGGGCAACCCAGUGGCCACCAGAUCCUUGAUGGUAAUGUAGCCGGUGCUGAAGCCGACAACGUUUGACGGCGAUCCGGUGGGCAACAAGUAUGACAACUGGGCCCCGAUUGCGCCGGAAACCAUGAGCAAGGCAGGGUGCACCUCAAUGGAUUUGGCAAGUUCAGCGAACAAUGGCAGCACCAGCGUCGUGGUUGAGUCGUCAGAAGU